GGAGGUAUAGCUCAGUGGUAGAGUGCAUUCUUAUCAUGCAUAAGGUCUUGGGUUCAGUCCCCAGUACUUCCA
Molecule: transfer RNA, 72 nt
Filed under: Camelus bactrianus (Bactrian camel)
Lineage: Eukaryota; Metazoa; Chordata; Mammalia; Artiodactyla; Camelidae
Also listed under: 2 other names
Rfam family: tRNA
About the family: Transfer RNA (tRNA) molecules are approximately 80 nucleotides in length. Their secondary structure includes four short double-helical elements and three loops (D, anti-codon, and T loops). Further hydrogen bonds mediate the characteristic L-shaped molecular structure. tRNAs have two regions of fundamental functional importance: the anti-codon, which is responsible for specific mRNA codon recognition, and the 3' end, to which the tRNAs corresponding amino acid is attached (by aminoacyl-tRNA synthetases). tRNAs cope with the degeneracy of the genetic code in two manners: having more than one tRNA (with a specific anti-codon) for a particular amino acid; and 'wobble' base-pairing, i.e. permitting non-standard base-pairing at the 3rd anti-codon position.
Source: Rfam by way of RNAcentral